UCACCCUGGCCCUCCGCUGGGGUGGUGAAGAGAGGGCAGGGCCACUCCACAGCCUAGCAAGUGCCAUUUCCUCAGGGACUAAAUGCCAUCCCGGGUCCUCCUAAGGGAUCUCCAGAACCACAGAAGGACUGGCUGGAUAGAGGAAGCCCCCAGUCCUUGUACAACGGAAGAGGACAAGGGACUUGCUCAGGUGACAACAGCGCUUUGCAGAAAUGACAGUAUCUGGUCCUAGACCCACCCCUCGCCCCCCGCCCCUAGGGCUCUUUCCAGAACUGCUAACUGAGCAGGUGGCCUCUCAGAUGCGGGUCCCUGGCCCGGCUCAUGGGCGUCCACGGCCACACUCACAACCCCCGCACGUUGGGGUGGGGAGGGCGCACAUUCCGCAGGAGCUCUAGAGCCGCACGGAGCACCGCCUCGCUGGCUCCCCCCUCCCGGCUGGGCCCAGCUCCAGCCCUCGCUGUGCCCUGGCAGCUGUCUGCCGCCGCCAGUGAAGGUGAUUGCCAUGUUUGCAGCUCCUUUCCUUGUUUGGAAAGAUUUGGAGGCAGGUCCUGGGGCUCACUGAAGAAUGUGCCCAUAGACCUGGAGGAGGUGCUCUGCCCAGGUUUGAUAAGAUGAAGAUGGUUUCUAGUGGAAAACCAAAGGUCUAAGGAUUUGCCAGCAGGCUCUCUAGAGCUCACUCUGUCCAUCCCCCUGCAUGCAGCUGGACUUUCCCCUAAAGCAGCACGGGGCUGAGUUCCCUUUGAAAUCCUGGUUUGUGCAAAGGUCCUUCUAGUGGCAGCAGUGACCAGUGGUUGGGCAGGCCCGGCCAAGUCAGUGUUUGCGGGCUGGUUGCGAGAGGAAUGAUGAACAGGUCCGCGUGGAUGAAGAGGUCCAACACAAAGCCAUGCUAAUUCGUCAUAAGCUCUGCCUGCCGCCUUUUAUAUAUCAACCUGAAAUGUAAUUAUCUUUAUGGCUGGCAGAGUA
Long non-coding RNA from Mustela lutreola (European mink), 963 nucleotides. RefSeq lists it as uncharacterized. The transcript is spliced from 4 exons. Lineage: Eukaryota; Metazoa; Chordata; Mammalia; Carnivora; Mustelidae. The record is from RefSeq and is a predicted model, not a curated record.